RNAcentral lists this ribosomal RNA (39 nucleotides) under Ophiostoma quercus. RNAcentral describes it as "partial 28S ribosomal RNA". The record is from RNAcentral. Lineage: Eukaryota; Fungi; Ascomycota; Sordariomycetes; Ophiostomatales; Ophiostomataceae.
UUGACCUCGGAUCAGGUAGGAUUACCCGCUGAACUUAAG